AACAAACGCUGGCGGCGUGCCUAAUACAUGCAAGUCGAACGGGGAAAGUAGCAAUACGAGUACUAGUGGCGCACGGGUGAGGAAUACAUGGGUAAUCUGCCCUCGAGCUCGGGAUAACCAGUCGAAAGACUGGCUAAUACCGGAUAUGACCACAAGAUCUGAGGAUCAAGGGGUAAAAGGUUUUUCGCUUGAGGAUGAGCCCAUGUGGGAUUAGCUAGUUGGUGUAGGUAACGGCUCACCAAGGCGACGAUCCCUAACUGGUCUUAGAGGAUGAUCAGUCACACUGGAACUGAGACACGGUCCAGACUCCUACGGGAGGCAGCAGUAGGGAAUAUUGCACAAUGGAGGAAACUCUGAUGCAGCGACGCCGCGUGAGUGAUGAAGGCCUUCGGGUCGUAAAGCUCUGUCGUAUGGGACUAACAAAAUAGAAGUACCGAUGCAAGAAAGGAU
RNAcentral lists this ribosomal RNA (450 nucleotides) under uncultured bacterium. RNAcentral's name for it is "bacterial SSU rRNA". It matches the Rfam family "Bacterial small subunit ribosomal RNA", at positions 29 to 493 of the family's 1533-position model. The record is from RNAcentral.